Molecule: ribosomal RNA, 497 nt
Filed under: uncultured bacterium
Lineage: Bacteria
Description: partial 16S ribosomal RNA
Rfam family: Bacterial small subunit ribosomal RNA
Source: RNAcentral
GAUGAACGCUGGCGGCGUGCCUAAUACAUGCAAGUCGAGCGAACAGACGAGGAGCUUGCUCCUCUGACGUUAGCGGCGGACGGGUGAUUAACACGUGGAUAAUGUACCUAUAAGACUGGGAUAACUUCGGGAAACCGGAGCUAAUACCGGAUAACAUGUUGAACCGCAUGGUUCAACAGUGAAAGACGGUCUUGCUGUCACUUAUAGAUGGAUCCGCGCCGCAUUAGCUAGUUGGUAAGGUAACGGCUUACCAAGGCAACGAUGCGUAGCCGACCUGAGAGGGUGAUCGGCCACACUGGAACUGAGACACGGUCCAGACUCCUACGGGAGGCAGCAGUAGGGAAUCUUCCGCAAUGGGCGAAAUCCUGACGGAGCAACGCCGCGUGAGUGAAGAAGGUCUUCGGAUCGUAAAACUCUGUUAUUAGGGAAGAACAAAUGUGUAAGUAACUAUGCACGUCUUGACGGUACCUAAUCAGAAAGCCACGGCUAACUACGUG